UACGUAGGGUGCGAGCGUUAAUCGGAAUUACUGGGCGUAAAGCGUGCGCAGGCGGUUUUGUAAGCCAGAUGUGAAAUCCCCGGGCUCAACCUGGGAAUGGCAUUUGGGACUGCAAGGCUGGAGUGUGGCAGAGGAGACUGGAAUUCCUGGUGUAGCAGUGAAAUGCGUAGACAUCAGGAGGAAUACCGAUGGCGAAGGCAGGUCCCUGGGCUGACACUGACGCUCAUGCACGAAAGCGUGGGGAGCAAACAGG
Molecule: ribosomal RNA, 253 nt
Filed under: uncultured bacterium
Lineage: Bacteria
Description: partial 16S ribosomal RNA
Rfam family: Bacterial small subunit ribosomal RNA
Source: RNAcentral